Molecule: ribosomal RNA, 253 nt
Filed under: uncultured bacterium
Lineage: Bacteria
Description: partial 16S ribosomal RNA
Rfam family: Bacterial small subunit ribosomal RNA
Source: RNAcentral
UACGUAGGGGGCAAGCGUUGUCCGGAUUUAUUGGGCGUAAAGAGCGUGUAGGCGGUCAGGUAGGUCCGUUGUGACAACUCGAGGCUCAACCUCGAGACGCCGAUGGAAACCAUCUGACUAGAGUCCGGAAGAGGAGAGUGGAAUUCCUGGUGUAGCGGUGAAAUGCGCAGAUAUCAGGAAGAACACCCGUGGCUAAGGCGGCUCUCUAGUACGGUACUGACGCUGAGACGCGAAAGCGUGGGGAGCGAACAGG